GCUGGUGUGACAAAAGGUGCCUAAAAUAAAAAGAACAGGGGCUCAGUUUCUGCUGUUGGGACUGGGAAUGGUUGCCUUAAAAGCUCCGUGAAUGGAAGCCAGCUUUUAACAACUUGUGUAUUUUAUUAGAGAAAAGGAUAGUUGUUCAAGUGGGGCAAGGUGCAUUAUAAUAUACAAGGGUCAUGAGAAUUAUAACAGAUGUUGACCUCUUUGUCGACUUCUGUGAACUGCCUCGUCAAAUCGAUUGAACCGAUAAUCUACUCCAGUUAUCUAGCCGAUCCAUUUAUGAAAGCUUUGAUAUAAGGGUCAUGAGAAUUAUAAUGGAUGUUGACCUCUUUGUCGACUUCUGUGAACUGCCCAGUCAAAACGAUAAUCAACUCCUCCAGUUCUCUUGCCGAUCCAUUUAUGAAAGCAUUGAUAUAAAGUAGUGAUUAGUGUUUUCAUCUAAACUCACAAUUCUUAACUGCCCCAAAGAGAACACACAUCAUAAAAAAGGACAACAAGAGGCAAAACAAAGGGGGGAACAUGUUCAUACACAUAAUACUAUAGAGAGAUUAACUAAACAAACUGAACUGUGAAUUAUUCAAUCAU
RNAcentral lists this long non-coding RNA (591 nucleotides) under Theobroma cacao (cacao). RNAcentral's name for it is "long non-coding RNA (TCAC_LNC004661)". Lineage: Eukaryota; Viridiplantae; Streptophyta; Magnoliopsida; Malvales; Malvaceae. The record is from RNAcentral.